UUGGAGGGCAAGUCUGGUGCCAGCAGCCGCGGUAAUUCCAGCUCCAAUAGCGUAUAUUAAAGUUGUUGCAGUUAAAAAGCUCGUAGUUGAAUUUCGGGAUCAAUUUGCUGGUCGUGCCUCUGGUACGUACUGGUAUUAUUGGUUUCUCCCUUCUGACGAACCAUGAUGUCAUUUAUUUGGUGUUGUGGGGAAUCAGGACUGUUACUUUGAAAAAUUAGAGUGUUUAAAGCAGGCUCACGCUUGAAUACAUUAGCAUGGAAUAAUGAAAUAGGACGUUUGAUUCUAUUUUGUUGGUUUCUAGGAUCGACGUAAUGAUUAAUAGGGAUAGUUGGGGGCAUUAGUAUUCAAUUGUCAGAGGUGAAAUUCUUGGAUUUAUUGAAGACUAACUACUGCGAAAGCAUUUGCCAAGGAUGUUUUCAUUAAUCAAGAACGAAAGUUAGGGGAUCGAAGACGAUCAGAUACCGUCGUAGUCUUAACCAUAAACUAUGCCGACUAGGGAUCGGAUGAUGUUAAUUUUUUAAUG
Molecule: ribosomal RNA, 523 nt
Filed under: uncultured Glomeromycotina
Lineage: Eukaryota; Fungi; Glomeromycota
Description: SSU rRNA
Rfam family: Eukaryotic small subunit ribosomal RNA
Source: RNAcentral